RNAcentral lists this ribosomal RNA (497 nucleotides) under uncultured bacterium. Its description in RNAcentral is "partial 16S ribosomal RNA". It matches the Rfam family "Bacterial small subunit ribosomal RNA", at positions 28 to 507 of the family's 1533-position model. The record is from RNAcentral.
GACGAACGCUGGCGGCGUGCCUAAUACAUGCAAGUUGAGCGAUGAAGAUUGGUGCUUGCACCAAUUUGAAGAGCAGCGAACGGGUGAGUAACGCGUGGGGAAUCUGCCUUUGAGCGGGGGACAACAUUUGGAAACGAAUGCUAAUACCGCAUAACAACUUUAAACAUAAGUUUUAAGUUUGAAAGAUGCAAUUGCAUCACUCAAAGAUGAUCCCGCGUUGUAUUAGCUAGUUGGUGAGGUAAAGGCUCACCAAGGCGAGGAUACAUAGCCGACCUGAGAGGGUGAUCGGCCACAUUGGGAGUGAGACACGGCCCAAACUGCUACGGGAGGCAGCAGGAGGGAAGCUUCGGCAAUGGACGGAAGUCUGACCGAGGAACGCCGGGUGAGUGAAGAAGGGUGUCGGAUCGGAAAACUCUGUUGGUAGAGAAGAAAGUUGGUGAGAGUGGAAAGCUCAUCAAGUGACGGUAACUACACAGAAAGGGACGGCUAACUACGUG